CCUACGGGAGGCAGCAGUGAGGAAUAUUGGUCAAUGGGCGCGAGCCUGAACCAGCCAAGUAGCGUGAAGGAUGACUGCCCUACGGGUUGUAAACUUCUUUUAUAAAGGAAUCAAGUGAGGCACGUGUGCCUUUUUGUAUGUACUUUAUGAAUAAGGAUCGGCUAACGCCGUGCCAGCAGCCGCGGUAAUACGGAGGUACCGAGCGUUAUCCGGCUUUAUUGGGUUUAAAGGGAGCGUAGAUGGGUUGUUAAGUCAGUUGUGAAAGUUUGCGUCUCAACCGUAAAAUUGAAAUUGAUAAUGGCAGUAUUGAGUACAGAUCAGGUAGGCGGAAUUCGUGGUGUAGCGGUGAAAUGCUUAGAUAUCACGAAGAACUCCGAUUGCGAAGGCAGCUUACUAAACUGCCACUGACAUUGAUGCUCGAAAGUGUGGGUAUCAAACAGGAUUAGAUACCCCUGUAGUC
Molecule: ribosomal RNA, 460 nt
Filed under: uncultured bacterium
Lineage: Bacteria
Description: partial 16S ribosomal RNA
Rfam family: Bacterial small subunit ribosomal RNA
Source: RNAcentral